AUAUCUAGUAUGUGUAUAAACAAUCACACCAGAUGAUCAUGGACCACAACCUAAUGUGAUUAGGCCCGAGCCAGUAGGCCUAAUCACUCACAUCAAGAUCUAUGUGUGCAACGGUGCAUCUCCAUGCCUUGUGAUCGUCCAUCUCGUGGGUCCCGCUAUCGCAUCCACGCUCCCACUGCGCCUCCUCAUGUGAUUACAACUUAAUCAUAGGCACGCAGGCC
This 221-nucleotide long non-coding RNA is filed under the name Musa acuminata (dwarf banana). RNAcentral's name for it is "long non-coding RNA (MACU_LNC010395)". The record is from RNAcentral. Lineage: Eukaryota; Viridiplantae; Streptophyta; Magnoliopsida; Zingiberales; Musaceae.